UAAGAUACGUAUCGGAAGGUAUCGUAUCGGUAUCGGAAAUACUUUAAACCAUGAGCUCAAGUUGCAUUGUGGAUGGUAAACUUUCUCCUGUUGUUGCAACAUGCUUUGUCACCAUGCAGAAGAGUGUAGAGCUUCCUUUAUUCAUAUGGACCUCAAAAUUGGCAAUCGCAUGGUGUGUGGCCUAUUUAACAUUCAUUUAAAGUGGAUCAGAGAUGAUCAGACCCGUGAGUUCAUCUGGUGGAUCAGCUGUAGUGAAUUAUUGACAUGGUGACAUCAAAUGGUAUUACCUGGCUUCAGAUGGCAGUGGACUAGGGAAUGGGAACCUGUGGUAUCAUGUUCUUCUGGUUAUUUGUUCUUUUUUUUAGCCUUGGAGAAGGUAAUGAUUGCCCUUGAUACCAAGUAAGAGAUUAGCUGUAAUAAUAGUUCUGUUGAAAUUUGAAAUUCACUUAUUAAUCAGUUGAAUUUUGUAGGACAAAAAUAUGAAUAUACAUUGUCCACUUUUCUAUGGUGAUAAAGAUCUGAUCAAGAUGUGUUUGAAUCCCAUCAAUAGGUGCAAGAUGCAAAUGCUUGGUUCAUUAAACUGGACUGCUGGAGCCUAGGCGCUUCUGUAUUUUCAGAACACUCACAGCAACAUUUUAUCAAAUUUAAAAGUUCGUCUGAUGGAAGUGCAAUUUUGGGGAGUUUUGAUAUUUUUGGUUGCGUUGAAGUUGGUAUGUGAUGAGCGUGGUUUUUGCUUUGAUUUCUCAGGUGUAUUUUGGUGCUGUUGGUUCCUUUCCUUCUUCCCUCUACCCAAACAAAACUUGUUUGAGAAAAGAAAUUUCUUCAGGUUGUUUAGACAGAUUUGGCAACUGCUGACUUUUCCUCGCCCCUAUUCUCUAAAGCAGCAGCGACCUCAACCCGAGGGAGGUCAGCAGAUAACAGUGGUGUCAACGAUUUGGUUUCAUUAGGAGACAACCUACCUUGGCCAAGAUCGAAUCCGAACCAAUUUAUAAUCAGUUUGGUAUUCUUCAGUUAAA
Molecule: long non-coding RNA, 1016 nt
Organism: Macadamia integrifolia
Lineage: Eukaryota; Viridiplantae; Streptophyta; Magnoliopsida; Proteales; Proteaceae
Exons: 2
Source: RefSeq, a predicted model, not a curated record